UCCGCCGCUGUCGGUGCCUGCGUCGCCGGGAGCGGGGCGGCCCGCGGUUGUGCCGUUAUGUGGGGACGCGGAGGAGGCAUGGAGGUCUGGGGGCAUGGCGCCUUCGCCUCGGGUAGAGACCGGAGACGAUUACAGAGAGCAGUGGCAUCUUCUCCUCAGGCAGGGACCAGGAGAAGGAGGGAUAUUGCACAUAUCCAUGAAGUAACUGAUACAGGCACAGAUGCUCAGAAAAAUACUAAGGGUCAUCCUGCCCCAGUGGUGUGGGAGAUGCAGAGGAAGAGAGAGAGAGAGAAAGAGAGAGAAAAUGGCUGUGGGCUCCAGUGGAUGUUGAUGGCACCUUCUCCUAGGACACAGUCUGGGUGCUCCUACCUUCUUUUACUUUCCAACUUGGCCUGACUGACCAUCCCUGAGCAGUGGAUUUGAAGCAAUGCUCCAGCCAUAAAUGGUCCACAGGGAACACAAGAUACAUAG
Long non-coding RNA from Oenanthe melanoleuca, 471 nucleotides. RefSeq lists it as uncharacterized. The transcript has 3 exons. The record is from RefSeq and is a predicted model, not a curated record. NCBI's taxonomy places the organism in Eukaryota, Metazoa, Chordata, Aves, Passeriformes, Muscicapidae.